GAUGAAUGCUGGCGGCGUGCCUAACACAUGCAAGUCGAGCGGCAGCGCGGGUAGUUUACUACCUGGCGGCGAGCGGCGGACGGCUGAGUAACGCGUGGGAACGUACCCCAAAGUGAGGAAUAACUGCCCGAAAGGGUGGCUAAUGCCGCAUAUGCUCUUCGGAGUAAAGCUUUAUGCGCUUUGGGAGCGGCCCGCGUCGGAUUAGGUUGUUGGUGAGGUAAUGGCUCACCAAGCCGACGAUCCGUAGCUGGUCUUAGAGGAUGAUCAGCCAGACUGGAACUGAGACACGGUCCAGACUCCUACGGGAGGCAGCAGUGAGGAAUCUUCCACAAUGGGCGAAAGCCUGAUGGAGCAACGCCGCGUGCAGGAUGAAGGCCUUCGGGUUGUAAACUGCUUUUAUAAGUGAAGAAUAUGACGGUAACUUAUGAAUAAGCACCGGCUAACUACGUGCCAGCAGCCGCCGUAA
This 466-nucleotide ribosomal RNA is filed under the name uncultured bacterium. Its description in RNAcentral is "partial 16S ribosomal RNA". It matches the Rfam family "Bacterial small subunit ribosomal RNA", at positions 28 to 523 of the family's 1533-position model. The record is from RNAcentral.